RNAcentral lists this ribosomal RNA (937 nucleotides) under Klebsiella pneumoniae. RNAcentral describes it as "bacterial SSU rRNA". It matches the Rfam family "Bacterial small subunit ribosomal RNA", at positions 538 to 1476 of the family's 1533-position model. Lineage: Bacteria; Pseudomonadati; Pseudomonadota; Gammaproteobacteria; Enterobacterales; Enterobacteriaceae. The record is from RNAcentral.
GCGUUAAUCGGAACUCCUGGGCGUAAAGCGCACGCAGGCGGUCUGUCAAGUCGGAUGUGAAAUCCCCGGGUUCAACCUGGGAACUGCAUUCGAAACUGGCAGGCUAGAGUCUUGUAGAGGGGGGUAGAUUUCCAGGUGUAGCGGUGAAAUGCGUAGAGAUCUGGAGGAAUACCGGUGGCGAAGGCGGCCCCCUGGACAAAGACUGACGCUCAGGUGCGAAAGCGUGGGGAGCAAACAGGAUUAGAUACCCUGGUAGUCCACGCCGUAAACGAUGUCGAUUUGGAGGUUGUGCCCUUGAGGCGUGGCUUCCGGAGCUAACGCGUUAAAUCGACCGCCUGGGGAGUACGGCCGCAAGGUUAAAACUCAAAUGAAUUGACGGGGGCCCGCACAAGCGGUGGAGCAUGUGGUUUAAUUCGAUGCAACGCGAAGAACCUUACCUGGUCUUGACAUCCACAGAACUUUCCAGAGAUGGAUUGGUGCCUUCGGGAACUGUGAGACAGGUGCUGCAUGGCUGUCGUCAGCUCGUGUUGUGAAAUGUUGGGUUAAGUCCCGCAACGAGCGCAACCCUUAUCCUUUGUUGCCAGCGGUUAGGCCGGGAACUCAAAGGAGACUGCCAGUGAUAAACUGGAGGAAGGUGGGGAUGACGUCAAGUCAUCAUGGCCCUUACGACCAGGGCUACACACGUGCUACAAUGGCAUAUACAAAGAGAAGCGACCUCGCGAGAGCAAGCGGACCUCAUAAAGUAUGUCGUAGUCCGGAUUGGAGUCUGCAACUCGACUCCAUGAAGUCGGAAUCGCUAGUAAUCGUAGAUCAGAAUGCUACGGUGAAUACGUUCCCGGGCCUUGUACACACCGCCCGUCAAACCAUGGGAGUGGGUUGCAAAAGAAGUAGGUAGCUUAACCUUCGGGAGGGCGCUUACCACUUUGGAUUCAGGGCC